GCGGCCUUAGCUCAGUUGGUAGAGCGCCAGGUUGUGGUCCUGGAUGUCACGGGUUCGAAUCCCGUAGGUCGCCCCA
Molecule: transfer RNA, 76 nt
Filed under: Pseudomonadota bacterium
Lineage: Bacteria; Pseudomonadati; Pseudomonadota
Also listed under: 1 other name
Description: tRNA-His
Rfam family: tRNA
About the family: Transfer RNA (tRNA) molecules are approximately 80 nucleotides in length. Their secondary structure includes four short double-helical elements and three loops (D, anti-codon, and T loops). Further hydrogen bonds mediate the characteristic L-shaped molecular structure. tRNAs have two regions of fundamental functional importance: the anti-codon, which is responsible for specific mRNA codon recognition, and the 3' end, to which the tRNAs corresponding amino acid is attached (by aminoacyl-tRNA synthetases). tRNAs cope with the degeneracy of the genetic code in two manners: having more than one tRNA (with a specific anti-codon) for a particular amino acid; and 'wobble' base-pairing, i.e. permitting non-standard base-pairing at the 3rd anti-codon position.
Source: RNAcentral